GUGGGGAAUCUUGCGCAAUGGGCGAAAGCCUGACGCAGCCAUGCCGCGUGAAUGAUGAAGGUCUUAGGAUUGUAAAAUUCUUUCACCGGGGACGAUAAUGACGGUACCCGGAGAAGAAGCCCCGGCUAACUUCGUGCCAGCAGCCGCGGUAAUACGAAGGGGGCUAGCGUUGCUCGGAAUUACUGGGCGUAAAGGGCGCGUAGGCGGACAGCUUAGUCAGAGGUGAAAGCCCAGGGCUCAACCUUGGAAUUGCCUUUGAUACUGGCUGUCUUGAGUUUGGGAGAGGUGAGUGGAACUCCGAGUGUAGAGGUGAAAUUCGUAGAUAUUCGGAAGAACACCAGUGGCGAAGGCGACACACUGGCUCAUUACUGACGCUGAGGCGCGAAAGCGUGGGGAGCAAACAGGAUUAGAAACCCCGGUAGUCC
RNAcentral lists this ribosomal RNA (425 nucleotides) under uncultured bacterium. RNAcentral describes it as "partial 16S ribosomal RNA". It matches the Rfam family "Bacterial small subunit ribosomal RNA", at positions 354 to 796 of the family's 1533-position model. The record is from RNAcentral.